CCUGGUCUUGGGUCGGGGCUGCUCCUGCUUACUGCCCCCUGCCCAGGCUGGUGUGCACCACCGCUGGCUGCUUUCAACGCCUCUUCUCUCUUCUCGGCAGGACAGGCACAAGGCACAGGCAGGUCGCCAGGUGUCAUGCUUGGCUCCCCGCCCGGUGAGAUUCUUUCAUUUAACAAUCUUCC
Molecule: non-coding RNA, 182 nt
Organism: Pongo abelii (Sumatran orangutan)
Lineage: Eukaryota; Metazoa; Chordata; Mammalia; Primates; Hominidae
Source: Rfam